Molecule: ribosomal RNA, 437 nt
Filed under: uncultured bacterium
Lineage: Bacteria
Description: bacterial SSU rRNA
Rfam family: Bacterial small subunit ribosomal RNA
Source: RNAcentral
GCAAAACGCGAAGAACCUUACCUAGGCUUGACAUGCAUCUCUAAGCGCGUGAAAGCGCGUGACCCUUCGGGGGAUUUGCACAGGUGCUGCAUGGCCGUCGUCAGCUCGUGUCGUGAGAUGUUGGGUUAAGUCCCGCAACGAGCGCAACCCUUGUGAACAGUUGCCAGCACUUAAGGUGGGAACUCUGUUCAGACUGCCCAGAUCAACUGGGAGGAAGGUGGGGACGACGUCAGGUCAGUAUGGCCCUUACGCCUAGGGCUGCACACGUACUACAAUGCCCAGCACAAUGAGAACCGAGACCGCGAGGUGGAGGAAAUCUAAAAAACUGGGCCCAGUUCGGGUUGGAGGCUGCAACUCGCCUCCACGAAGUUGGAAUCGCUAGUAAUGGCGCAUCAGCUACGGCGCCGUGAAUACGUUCCCGGGUCUUGUACACACCG